GAUGAACGCUGGCUACAGGCUUAACACAUGCAAGUCGAGGGGAAACGGCAUUGAGUGCUUGCACUGAAUGGACGUCGACCGGCGCACGGGUGAGUAACGCGUAUCCAACCUUCCCGUUACUGCGGGAUAACCUGCCGAAAGGCAGACUAAUACCGCAUGUUCUUCGAUGACGGCAUCAGAUUCGAAGCAAAGAUCCGUCGGUAACGGAGGGGGAUGCGUCUGAUUAGCUAGUUGGCGGGGCGACGGCCCACCAAGGCGACGAUCAGUAGGGGUUCUGAGAGGAAGGUCCCCCACAUUGGAACCGAGGCCCCGUCCAAAACCCUACGGGAGGCAGCCGUUGGGGAUAUCGGUCAAUGGGCGGAAGCCUGAACCAGCCAAGUAGCGUGCAGGAUGACGGCCCUACGGGUUGUAAACUGCUUUUAUGCGGGGAUAAAGUGAGGGACGCGUCCCUUUUUGCAGGUACCGCAUGAAUAAGGACCGGCUAAUUCCGUG
RNAcentral lists this ribosomal RNA (492 nucleotides) under uncultured bacterium. RNAcentral's name for it is "partial 16S ribosomal RNA". It matches the Rfam family "Bacterial small subunit ribosomal RNA", at positions 28 to 507 of the family's 1533-position model. The record is from RNAcentral.